RNAcentral lists this non-coding RNA (24 nucleotides) under Cricetulus griseus (Chinese hamster). Lineage: Eukaryota; Metazoa; Chordata; Mammalia; Rodentia; Cricetidae. The record is from RNAcentral.
CCCAAAUGAUGUGACAGACUGAUG